Molecule: ribosomal RNA, 301 nt
Filed under: uncultured bacterium
Lineage: Bacteria
Description: partial 16S ribosomal RNA
Rfam family: Bacterial small subunit ribosomal RNA
Source: RNAcentral
CAGCCGCCGCGGGAAUACGAAGGGUGCAAGCGUUACUCGGAAUUACUGGGCGUAAAGGGUGCGUAGGUGGUUUUUUAAGUCCGUUGUGAAAUCCCUGGGCUCAACCUGGGAAUGGCAGUGGAUACUGGAAAGCUAGAGUGCGGUAGAGGGUAGUGGAAUUCCCGGUGUAGCAGUGAAAUGCGUAGAGAUCGGGAGGAACACCAGUGGCGAAGGCGGCUACCUGGACCAGCACUGACACUGAAGCACGAAAGCGUGGGGAGCAAACAGGAUUAGAUACCCCCGUAGUCCCUGUCUCUUAUAC